CUUUGCUGGCGACCGGCGCACGGAUGAGUAACACGUAUCCAACCUGCCCUUUACUCGGGGAUAGCCUUUCGAAAGAAAGAUUAAUACCCGAUAGCAUAAUGAUUCCGCAUGGUUUCAUUAUUAAAGGAUUCCGGUAAAGGAUGGGGAUGCGUUCCAUUAGGUUGUUGGUGAGGUAACGGCUCACCAAGCCUUCGAUGGAUAGGGGUUCUGAGAGGAAGGUCCCCCACAUUGGAACUGAGACACGGUCCAA
This 250-nucleotide ribosomal RNA is filed under the name uncultured bacterium. Its description in RNAcentral is "partial 16S ribosomal RNA". It matches the Rfam family "Bacterial small subunit ribosomal RNA", at positions 83 to 334 of the family's 1533-position model. The record is from RNAcentral.